This 75-nucleotide transfer RNA is filed under the name Planctomycetota bacterium. RNAcentral's name for it is "tRNA-His". It matches the Rfam family "tRNA". From Rfam's summary of the family: Transfer RNA (tRNA) molecules are approximately 80 nucleotides in length. Their secondary structure includes four short double-helical elements and three loops (D, anti-codon, and T loops). Lineage: Bacteria; Pseudomonadati; Planctomycetota. The record is from RNAcentral.
GCGGCGGAACGCGAAGCGGUCGAGCGGCAGCGCUGUGAACGCUGAGAAUAGCGGGUUCGAGUCCCGUCCGUCGCC